ACAUGCGAUCAUACCAGCACUAAUGCACCAGAUUCCAUCAGAACUCCGCAGUUAAGGGUGCUUUGGAAAGAGUAGUACUAGGAUGGAUUACCUCCCGGAAAGUCUUCGUGUUGCAUCCC
This 119-nucleotide ribosomal RNA is filed under the name Arabidopsis thaliana (thale cress). Lineage: Eukaryota; Viridiplantae; Streptophyta; Magnoliopsida; Brassicales; Brassicaceae. The record is from RNAcentral.